ACCGUCUUACGUUAGGUGAGGCUCCUAUAUAGAAAUAUGCUACUGCCCUGCAAACUAUCCAGAGAUUUUUGUAUGGGUCAACAGGAACUGUCGAAUAAGGCUUUUCUUAAUGUAGCUGAUAGUAAUUAUCUACGCUAUAUAGUGCUAAAACUCCACGAAGAGAUUAACA
Molecule: small RNA, 169 nt
Filed under: Vagococcus fluvialis
Lineage: Bacteria; Bacillati; Bacillota; Bacilli; Lactobacillales; Enterococcaceae
Description: Magnesium sequence
Rfam family: M-box riboswitch aptamer (ykoK leader)
About the family: M-box riboswitch, also know as ykoK leader is described as a metaloregulatory RNA that sense divalent metals and function as a genetic control element of genes related to divalent metal transport in bacteria. It was first reported upstream of the B.subtilis ykoK gene and genes with related functions in other bacteria. Phylogenetic analysis of the distribution of M-box RNAs across bacterial genomes revealed that M-box riboswitches are most often employed for the regulation of Mg2+ transporter genes
Source: RNAcentral